Molecule: ribosomal RNA, 253 nt
Filed under: uncultured bacterium
Lineage: Bacteria
Description: partial 16S ribosomal RNA
Rfam family: Bacterial small subunit ribosomal RNA
Source: RNAcentral
UACAGAGGGGGCAAGCGUUGUUCGGAAUUACUGGGCGUAAAGGGCGCGUAGGCGGCCCGCUAAGUCGAACGUGAAAUCCCCGGGCUCAACCCGGGAACUGCGUCCGAUACUGGUGGGCUCGAAUCCGGGAGAGGGAUGCGGAAUUCCAGGUGUAGCGGUGAAAUGCGUAGAUAUCUGGAGGAACACCGAUGGCGAAGGCAAUCCCCUGGGCCUGCACUGACGCUCAUGCACGAAAGCGUGGGGAGCAAACAGG